This 230-nucleotide ribosomal RNA is filed under the name uncultured Arcanobacterium sp. RNAcentral describes it as "partial 16S ribosomal RNA". It matches the Rfam family "Bacterial small subunit ribosomal RNA", at positions 133 to 355 of the family's 1533-position model. Lineage: Bacteria; Bacillati; Actinomycetota; Actinomycetes; Actinomycetales; Actinomycetaceae. The record is from RNAcentral.
UUCUUUGGGAGUAAGCCCCGGAAACCGGGGUCGUAAUACCGGAUAUUCUGCUUCUGCCGCAUGGUGGGGGUUGGGAAAGGUUUUUCGGUUGGGGGAGUGGGGCCCCGCGGCCUAUCAGCUUGUUGGUGGGGUGAUGGCCUACCAAGGCUUCGACGGGUAGCCGGCCUGAGAGGGUGACCGGCCACAUUGGGACUGAGAUACGGCCCUUACUCCUACGGGAGGCAGCAGCA